GAAGCCAGUACUCUCACUUAGCAGCUACCUCAUUUCUGGGCUGAGAUGUUUCAUUUCAUCAGACGGAUUUCUCCACAGCUGAACAAGCACAAACAACAUGGCCAGAAGAAGAAAAGGCUCAUUACAAUCACAAUAUAUGCCAUGCAUAAACCCUAAUUUACAACUGUGGGGGAACACUGCAUUCUGGAUUACCUGUCAGUUGUAGACAGCAGCUAUCACUUCAGACUUACAACAAAGGAGAAAUGGAAGGCUUCCCUGUUCCCAGGAAGAUCUACCAUACAGACACCUGUGAUCAAUAGACUCUUCUUAGUACUGCCUUAGGUGUUAGAGAUUUUAAUUUGAAGUGGGGUUCACAAUAGCAUUUUUAAGAAGCCAAAUCCAGGGUGCUUACUGGGACUAGCCCCUGGGGUG
This is a long non-coding RNA of Corapipo altera (White-ruffed manakin), 411 nucleotides long. RefSeq lists it as uncharacterized. Lineage: Eukaryota; Metazoa; Chordata; Aves; Passeriformes; Pipridae. The transcript has 3 exons. The record is from RefSeq and is a predicted model, not a curated record.